GUGAGGAAUAUUGGACAAUGGGCGCAAGCCUGAUCCAGCCAUGCCGCGUGCAGGAAGACGCAUCUAUGGUGUGUAAACUGCUUUUGUACGGGAAGAAACACUCCCUCGUGAGGGAGCUUGACGGUACCGUAAGAAUAAGGAUCGGCUAACUCCGUGCCAGCAGCCGCGGUAAUACGGAGGAUCCAAGCGUUAUCCGGAAUCAUUGGGUUUAAAGGGUCCGUAGGCGGUUUAAUAAGUCAGUGGUGAAAGCCCAUCGCUCAACGAUGGAACGGCCAUUGAUACUGUUAGACUUGAAUUACAAGGAAGUAACUAGAAUAUGUAGUGUAGCGGUGAAAUGCUUAGAUAUACGGAGGAACACCAGUGGCGAAGGCGGAUUACUGGACGAUAACUGACGCUGAGGCGCGAAAGCGUGGGGAGCAAACAGGAUUAGAUACCCGGGUAGUCC
Molecule: ribosomal RNA, 445 nt
Filed under: uncultured bacterium
Lineage: Bacteria
Description: partial 16S ribosomal RNA
Rfam family: Bacterial small subunit ribosomal RNA
Source: RNAcentral